This is a long non-coding RNA of Engraulis encrasicolus (European anchovy), 561 nucleotides long. RefSeq lists it as uncharacterized. The record is from RefSeq and is a predicted model, not a curated record. NCBI's taxonomy places the organism in Eukaryota, Metazoa, Chordata, Actinopteri, Clupeiformes, Engraulidae. The transcript has 6 exons.
GCUAUCAGUAUGCUACCAACGUCCAGAAGAGGACACCGGACGGCUUAUGAAAGCAUUGUUUCGGACACAAGUAAAAGGAGAAGAAUGCUGCUCAGCUGGGUCGGCGAAGCUCUUGGAUAUCAUCUGCAUCUAUGAAGGCACCGGUAGGCACAGAGUCAUUCCGGUAGGCACGGAGUCGUUCCUCGAUGGACGUGAUGACCUGGCACCAAAACCGCUUAAUGUGUAUGAAGCUGUCUGCAUCGAGGGAAGAACCCAGUACUGAAAUGACACAAGUAAAAGGAGAAGAAUGCUGCUCAGCUGGGUCGGCGGUCACACUACUUAUUCAAGAACCUCUUGGAUAUCAUUGGCAUGUAUGCAGCACAGAGUCAUUCCAGUAGGCACGGAGUCGUUCCACGAUGGACGUGAUGACCUGGCACCAAAACCGCUUAAUGUGUAUGAAGCUGUCUGCAUCGAGGGAAGAACCCAGCACUGAAGUGACACAAAUGAAAGAAGGGGACUUCUGCUCUGCUGGGUCUGCGACACUACUUAUCUGAGGAGUCCUCAAACAUCAGGAUGUAGGAA